This is a long non-coding RNA of Bos taurus (domestic cattle), 491 nucleotides long. Lineage: Eukaryota; Metazoa; Chordata; Mammalia; Artiodactyla; Bovidae. The record is from Ensembl.
GUGAUUAACAGAACACAGACUGGGACAAGAGGUGUUUCCCAAGGGCACACUGACCCCAGUGUCUUCACUGGGAAGAGGAAACUGUGGGCCUCAGGUUGGCCAGUCAUACUUGACCAGGGCACAGGGGGAUGGCCAUGGAACACUGAUGUGUGAGAUCCUUUUCCUGAGAAGGGGAGUCUGGAAGCUCCAGAUCAGUGUCCUGGCUUGUCCCAGUAACAGCACUGCCCCUUGUCAGCAGCUGGUUCAGCAAUGGCCGUAUGACCCAGCCUGGGGCGGGAGUCAGCUGGUCCAUCUGGGAGAGCCUGCAGUAUGGGCAUGGCCUGCCAAGGAUGGUGACCUCGGCAAAGGGCAGAAGCACUUCUGGUUUUUGUGUGGCCGCCAGGGGACAGGAACGGCUCUGAUGAAGUCUGUCCUGGUGCAUGUGACCCGGAAGUCAGAGGCGGGCUGAGAGCCUUGCUUCUCUUCAGGCCAAGGGGGCACUGCUCCCACCA